AUCCCCAGCUCCAGAGAAAACUGAGAGACGGAGGGCGUCCCUCACAUGGAGCUGACAGUGUCCCCAACCCCAGCCCAGAGCAAACUCUGAGAGACAGAGCGCGUCCCUCACACAGAGCUGACAGUGUCCCUAUCCCCAGCCCAGAGCAAACUGAGAGAUGGAGGGCGUCCUUCACAUGGAGCUGACAGUGUCCCCAUCCCCAGCCCAGAGCACUGGCUCAGAGAUUUUGCUUGGAGUGAGAAGCAGUAAGUAAAAGAGAUGGUUUCUAAUCUCCUCCCAAAAGAACCAACUUCAUUUGCAGCAGAACACUGGAGAAGCUGAAAGCCCAGGGUCUCCUCAAGAACGUGGAGGUUGUCAUAAAAGGCAUUUGGGACAUUCGUGGAUUUAAUGCAGAUUGAGGACUGUGAUAGCUGAGAGGAGCCCUCCAGGGCCAAAACAAAUAUCAAACAUGGACAUCAGAAGCUCUCCUUUAAAUAAGGCACAACUUAACUGGAUUAAUUGUAGAGUAAUUUAUGUCCCAGAUAUUGUUGAAAACAGUAGAGCAAUCCAAUGGCAGCUGGUGGAAUUUAAUAGCUGGGUGUGGUCAGGGAAAGAGAGGAAGAGAUCUCUAUCAAAAUCCUGUCAUUCCAGGGUGACUCUGGGCACAUGGAAGCCACCUCUCCCUAAGGAGCAAGCCAGAGGCAUAACACUGCUGGCGGGGCUGGGGGGUAGGGGGAUGGGCUAGGCGUCACUCCAGUAACCUCACAAGUCACCACACCAGUAAGUAAGCAAAUAACUAAACAAGCCCCACACAGGGGGACCAGUAUCUAGAGCUGCUACAAUACAUUGUCUAAAAUGCCCAGUUUCUAACAAAACAUUGUGAAGCAUGCAAAGAAACGCAAAACUACGACCCCCACAUUUAAAUUAAAAAAAAAAAAAAAAAAGACAUCAGAAACUGCCUGGGACAAUGACCAGAUAUUGGAUUUAAUGGAAAAAGACGUCAAAAUAUCCUUUAUAUGCUCCCAGAACUAAAGAAAAUCUUGAUUAAAGAAGUAAAAGAAGGCACGAUGACAAUGUCACAUCUCGUAGAGACUGCUGAUAGACAGAAACUAUAAAAAAGAACCACGAGGAAGUCUGGAGCUGGAAGGCAGGAUGGCUGAAGAGAGUAAUUCUCUGUCGGGACUCAACAGUCGAUUUGAACUGGCAGAAGAAAGUGACUUGAAGAUGCAUCAGUGGAGAUGACACAAACCCAGCACAGAGAGCAAGUAGAAUUAGAAAGGCAAGGAGAGGCUUGGAGAACAGAGGGACACGUGAGGUCACCAAGGACGCACACACAUGGGCUGCACUAGAGGGAAAGGAGAGAGGAAGAAAGAGAUGAAAAAAUGUUAAAAGAAAAAUGGUUGAAAUGUUGCAAAUUAGUUUUAAAAAAUAACCUGCAAACCAGGAUUCUCAUUGAACUCCAACUGGGGCAAACCUAUAGAGACUCACAAACUGAUACAUAAAAUGCUGAAAGUCAAUAAUAAGGAGAAAAUCUCAAAAGCCAAAACAAUAAAAUAAUGUAUCACUUAAAAGGGAACCCCAAUAAGGUGAACAUACGACUUCUAAGCAGCCACUAUGUGAGCCAGGAGGCAGUGGCCUAAGGUAGCCAAAGGAAAGGAAAGGAGACAAGAGAGGAGGGAUAGUGCGGAAUGGGGAGAGGGAGGGAGAAAGGAAGGAAGGAAGGGACGGAGGGAGGAAACCUGUUGGUCCCAAAUCCAGUGCUCCGCAGAACGUUCCUUCAAGACUGAAGGUGAAAGACUUUCAGAAAAACAGAGUUUGUUGCUAGCAGACCCAUCUGACAAAAAAUACUCAAGGAAGUUCUUGAGGCAGUGAGCAGGAAACUUUUGACAGUGAUUGAAAUCACAGGAAGAAAACAGAGGGCCGCUUACAAGACAGUACAAAUACACAUUUCUCCUUUUAAAACUGGUGUGAAAAGUGAUUGUAUAAAAUAAUGAUUAUCAGAACAUAUUCAUAGGUUUGUAACGUGACUGUUUAUAAAGCAGAAUGUAUAAAAAGGGGAGAAGGGAAUGGACGUAGCUACAUAGGAAUAGUGUUUUGUGUGUCACUAAACUAUUACAAAUCUGAAGCUGAGUAACGUGAAAAUGAAUAUGGUAAAUAGUUGAGCAAUCCCUAAAGCAAAAAGAAAAGUUUUAAAAAGCUUCACUAAAAAUAAUGCAAAGAAAUAAAAAGAAAACAAAUAAAUGAGGGGAAGACAUAUGAAAAGUGAAAUGGCAGCUCUCCAUGCAGCUAUAUCAAUAAUAACAUCAAAUGAGAGUGGAUUUAACAACCAAGCAAAAGCAGACUGUCAGUCUGAAUUAAGAAAACAGGACCCAACUUUCUGCAGUCUACAGAACACGUACUUUCUAUUCAAAGAUUCACACAGAGACUAAGAUGAUGGGAAAAGAGCACCCAAAGAGCAGCCUCAGGAUGGCCAGGGAGGCUACUCCUGUGAGACAGAAAGCCUCUUGAAAACAACUGUAUGAAGAUGAAUGUUUACAGCGAUAAGAGCACCGCUCUGUGAGAAAGACAUAACAAUUAUGAACAAAUGUGCAGUCAACAAGAGAACCCGAAAAUGUAUGAAGCAAAAGCUCAGAAUGAGGAAGAAAGUUCUACGACAGAGAAUGAGGACUCUCUACAGAAUGAGGGAGAAAGUUCUACCACAGAGAAUGGGGACUCUCUACAAAAUGAGGGAGGAAGCUCUACCACAGAGAAUGGGGACUCUCUACAAAAUGAGGGAGGAAGCUCUACCACAGAGAAUGGGGACUCUCUACAGAAUGACGGAGGAAGUUCUACCACAAACAAUGGGGACUCUAUGGAACAAGGGAGAAAGUUCUACCACAGAGAAUGGGGACUCUCUACAGAGUGAGGGAGAAAGUUCUACCACAGACAAUGGGGACUCUACAGAAUGAUGAAGAAAGUUCUAGGACAGAGAAUGGGGACUCUACAGAAUGAGGGAGAAAGCUGUAUCACAGAGAAUGGGGACUCUCUACAGAAUGAGGGAGAAAGUUCUACCACAGAGAAUGGAGACUCCACAGAAUGAGGGAGAAAG
Long non-coding RNA from Sapajus apella (tufted capuchin), 3067 nucleotides. RefSeq lists it as uncharacterized. The transcript has 2 exons. The record is from RefSeq and is a predicted model, not a curated record. NCBI's taxonomy places the organism in Eukaryota, Metazoa, Chordata, Mammalia, Primates, Cebidae.